GCAUUGGGGGCAAUCUGCUUGUAAUAUCUGUCACCCCCAUUGACUGCCAGGGGGAAUUCUGUUGAUCCGGCUGGCUAGGUGGGUGUUCUCUGCCUUCUUCACCACUCCAUGUGUAUCCCUCCUGAGGCUGGAUGCUCCCCUGAAGAGGGUCACCCUCAAGGCUCCAUGCUCCUUUGAAAAAGAUAGCCUGCCCUGAAUAGAGAUAGAAGACAGACAAGCAGCAGCACUUCCCUGCUAGAAACUCCAAACAAGUUCUCAAGGAUUAUGGUCAGGUAAGAGUCAGCCCAUAGACUGACAUUUGUGACUCAAAUCCCAGAGCCAGUGGAAGAUCUCUAGUAAUU
This 341-nucleotide small nuclear RNA is filed under the name Erinaceus europaeus (western European hedgehog). RNAcentral's name for it is "7SK RNA". It matches the Rfam family "7SK RNA". From Rfam's summary of the family: 7SK was discovered as an abundant small nuclear RNA in the mid-70s but a possible function has only recently been suggested. Lineage: Eukaryota; Metazoa; Chordata; Mammalia; Eulipotyphla; Erinaceidae. The record is from Rfam by way of RNAcentral.